AGGUCAUUUCAAAGAGGGCUAAUGGGACCAAAUCCAGGUGCACUUAAUGCUGUGACCAAAGAUUGCGUUCUCCUUAGGACGUUAACAGUCACUCCAUAGUCCUAUGUUUUCCUGAUAGAGAUACAAGA
This is a small nucleolar RNA of Camelus dromedarius (Arabian camel), 128 nucleotides long. Lineage: Eukaryota; Metazoa; Chordata; Mammalia; Artiodactyla; Camelidae. The record is from Ensembl.